Molecule: unclassified non-coding RNA, 322 nt
Filed under: soil metagenome
Description: partial contains 5.8S ribosomal RNA, internal transcribed spacer 2, and large subunit ribosomal RNA
Rfam family: 5.8S ribosomal RNA (bases 1-120)
Source: RNAcentral
GAUGAAGAACGUAGCGAAAUGCGAUAAGUAGUGUGAAUUGCAGAAUUCAGUGAAUCAUCGAAUCGUUGAACGCACAUUGCGCCCCUUGGUAUUCCAUGGGGCAUGCCUGUUCGAGCGUCAUUUGUACCUUCAAGCUUUGCUUGGUGUUGGGUGUUUGUCCUGAGGGACUCGCCUUAAAGUAAUUGGCAGCCAGUGUUUGGUUUUGAAGCGCAGCACAAGUCGCGAUUCAAAGCUAUACGCCCGCUUCCACAAGCCUUUUUCACUUUUGACCUCGGAUCAGGUAGGGAUACCCGCUGAACUUAAGCAUAUCAAUAAGCGAGGA